RNAcentral lists this long non-coding RNA (1365 nucleotides) under Mus musculus (house mouse). RNAcentral's name for it is "predicted gene 44992". The record is from RNAcentral. Lineage: Eukaryota; Metazoa; Chordata; Mammalia; Rodentia; Muridae.
ACUGGAUUUAAAAUCUUUCCCAGAAAGGUGUUUAUCUCGUAUCUGUUUUCAUGGAACACUUGCUUGAACCAUGCUAAAGACACACAAUCCUACUGAUGGACAACUAUAGUGUUUGAAAUGAGAGGUAUACUCCAUAGGCUAUGUAUUUGGACACUUGUUUCCCAGUUGGCUAUGGUUAGAGAGGCUAUGAAUCUGUUAGGAGGUGUGACUCUGUUAAAGGAUGCCACACAGGGUGGUCAAUGAGAAUUUAGAGCCUUACUGAACUUCCAGUUCACUCUUCUGCUUCCCACAUGUGAAUGGAGAGCGACAUCUCAGCUUGCUGUUCUGGACACCUGCCGCCAUUCCUCCUGUAAUUGGUUGAUCUGAUGCUGUCUGCAAUCCUCAAGAUGACCUUGAACUCAGAGAUUUAAUCUUCUGGAAUCCAUAGCCACUAUGCCUCAAGAUCUCCAUACCAAGAUCCAGAUCAGAAACUUCUAUCUCCCAGCCCCCAGAUAAGGUUCCAGGGGGAGAGUCCAUGAUGGCAGGAGAAAUGUUGCAGCAAACAUCUGGAGCAAGAAAUGGAGAGACCACAUUCUCAACCACAGGGAGAAAACAGAGAGAACAAACUGGAAUAUCUCCAAAGCGGCAGACCAACACAGACAACCAACACUGAGGUUUGAUUGAGGUUGUCCGAACAUGCAAGGAUGAUAGCUAUAACAUGGAGUCAGCAGAGGUAUGCAUGCUCAGCCCAGCCUAUGCGACAAGCUUCUUUGACUCUGGACUUCUGCAAGUCUCUUCCAGUUCAUUUAUGCAGUAGAGUUCAUCAUAGUUUUACAUGGCUGUGUCUCCAAGAUGCAUAUGUGGCAUGCUUAGGGCAAGCCCACUGGUGCAUCAAAUGUUCAGACAGUGGUCCUGCUGUCGUUUGCACCUCCUGCACAUGGGUCUCUCAUCUGAUAAUCCAUGUAUUGUACUAUGCAGCAGAAUAAUCAGAACUUGACAAGUGCAGGUCUAUCUGUCUCACUACCUGGAAUAGGCAGACUUCCACAGGGGACCAAGUAAGUAGAGAAAACCCUGAUACGUAUUCUCGGAUGCUGGAGAAAUUUAUAACCUCAGAGACCUUUAGCAAAAAAUACAUUACAUUCUCUAAAAUUACAAGAAAUAUCCAUUGCUGAAGUCGCAAGUGAGCUUUGGCCUCCUUAAAGUAAGAUCGUGGUGCCUGAGCAAGGGAGAUGGUCUGCCAGUUGAUUUCUCUGUUCCCCCAGUAAGUGUGGAGAUUUCCCAGGCAGCCACCUCUUUGUAAGAAGCCGAGUUCCCUGCAAAAAAAAAUGACUAAUAUUUACUGAGUGCUUGCCAGAGUAAAGUCACCUUUCAGAUGCUUUUUCUACU